This 575-nucleotide long non-coding RNA is filed under the name Capsicum annuum. Its description in RNAcentral is "long non-coding RNA (CANN_LNC012149)". Lineage: Eukaryota; Viridiplantae; Streptophyta; Magnoliopsida; Solanales; Solanaceae. The record is from RNAcentral.
GCAACUCUUAAAAGUUCAGAUAUGGCACCGACCUUACAUCACAAAUUCCCUCUUUAGAAUCCAGUAGUAUUAAUUCCUAUUAUGACAAUUGACUUAUUCAAUUUUGAAAUUUUCUUGAAAUUAAAUGCAAUUUCAGCCUCAAAUGAUGUGAAUAAAAUACAACAAUAGUGAAUUGGCGACAUAGGCUUUGGAUCAUUACCAAGAUUACUAUAGAGAAAAAUUCAAGCCUACAAAUAGAGAUGUAUUUCAAGAUUGAAAUAUAUAGUUAAGAAGAGAAUCGUUGUGAUUGAGCAAAUCUUAAUGCUCUAGAUAAAUGUUUCCCAGAUUGGACAAUACUUGUGGAUUCUCAGGUUGAAGUAGGAGGCAUUGCUCCAUGCAUUCAUCUGAAAGGUUGAGAAAACAGCAUAAAGGCACUGCUUCAUGCAUUCACUUGAAAGUAUUUUCUGUCUCACUUUAUGUGGUACUUUUUGCUUAUCGAGAUACAAAUUACGUGAAAUUUGAUAUUUUAAAAUGUGUCUAUUCACCACAUUGACAUGUGAAGAAUUGAAACUUACAGUACUUAUCACAUAAUUUUU